UCAGAUCAUUUGAAAUAUUUAUAUUGUUAUAUCUAAUUAAAUUUACAUAAAAAGUUAUGAAUUACAAUGUACUUUGAAAAUAUAAAAAAUAUAUACAUAUCAAACUCCAAAAAAAAACAAUCUACAAAGUAUCAGGGACGGAAUUCAGCUCCAUCAUCAUCAUCUCUGCGAGCAUUUGAAGUAUCAGAAAUCUACAAAAAAAAAAAGAAACCUUAGAUAUUUGUAAAAAUGGGAUACAUUAACUUAUACAUCAUAAUUGAUAAUAUGUAAAGUAUUCAAAUAUAUAUAGUUAGUUACCUGAGAAGGGAGAAAUCGUUGUAACAAAGAUGAAAUAUUCGUAAGCUGAGACUGCAAAUUUUCUUGGUUCGGCACUGGAUCUCGACUUAUUUAUCCAACUUUUUGUCCAUUCUAUUAAA
This 416-nucleotide long non-coding RNA is filed under the name Phoenix dactylifera (date palm). RNAcentral's name for it is "long non-coding RNA (PDAC_LNC016223)". Lineage: Eukaryota; Viridiplantae; Streptophyta; Magnoliopsida; Arecales; Arecaceae. The record is from RNAcentral.